This 43-nucleotide transfer RNA is filed under the name Arnellia fennica. RNAcentral's name for it is "partial tRNA-Phe". It matches the Rfam family "tRNA", at positions 1 to 42 of the family's 71-position model. From Rfam's summary of the family: Transfer RNA (tRNA) molecules are approximately 80 nucleotides in length. Their secondary structure includes four short double-helical elements and three loops (D, anti-codon, and T loops). The record is from RNAcentral. Lineage: Eukaryota; Viridiplantae; Streptophyta; Jungermanniopsida; Jungermanniales; Arnelliaceae.
GCCGGAAUAGCUCAGUUGGUAGAGCASAGGACUGAAAAUCCUC